RNAcentral lists this transfer RNA (69 nucleotides) under Micromonospora citrea. Its description in RNAcentral is "tRNA_Pseudo_CGT". Lineage: Bacteria; Bacillati; Actinomycetota; Actinomycetes; Micromonosporales; Micromonosporaceae. The record is from RNAcentral.
GCCGCUGGGCAUGUCGAAGGCAGCCGACUCGUAAUGCGUAGGUCGACGGUUCGAUUCCGUCAGGCGGCU